This 107-nucleotide small nuclear RNA is filed under the name Phascolarctos cinereus (koala). Lineage: Eukaryota; Metazoa; Chordata; Mammalia; Diprotodontia; Phascolarctidae. The record is from RNAcentral.
GUGCUCGCUUCGGCAGCACACAUACUAAAAUUGGAAUGAUACAGAGAAGAUGAGCGUGGCCCCUGCGCAAGGAUGACCCGCAAAUUUGUGAAGUGUUCCAUAUUUUU